RNAcentral lists this ribosomal RNA (782 nucleotides) under uncultured Providencia sp. Its description in RNAcentral is "bacterial SSU rRNA". It matches the Rfam family "Bacterial small subunit ribosomal RNA", at positions 715 to 1502 of the family's 1533-position model. The record is from RNAcentral. Lineage: Bacteria; Pseudomonadati; Pseudomonadota; Gammaproteobacteria; Enterobacterales; Morganellaceae.
GCGAAGGCGGCCCCUUGACAAAGACUGACGCUCAGGUGCGAAGCGUGGGGAGCAAACAGGAUAGAUACCUGGUAGUCACGCUGUAAACGAUGUCGAUUUGGAGGUUGUUCCCUUGAGGAGUGGCUUCCGGAGCUAACGCGUUAAAUCGACCGCUGGGGAGUACGGCCGCAAGGUUAAAACUCAAAUGAAUUGACGGGGGCCCGCACAAGCGGUGGAGCAUGUGGUUUAAUUCGAUGCAACGCGAAGAACCUUACCUACUCUUGACAUCCAGAGAAUUUAGCAGAGAUGCUUUAGUGCCUUCGGGAACUCUGAGACAGGUGCUGCAUGGCUGUCGUCAGCUCGUGUUGUGAAAUGUUGGGUUAAGUCCCGCAACGAGCGCAACCCUUAUCCUUUGUUGCCAGCACAUUAUGGUGGGAACUCAAAGGAGACUGCCGGUGAUAAACCGGAGGAAGGUGGGGAUGACGUCAAGUCAUCAUGGCCCUUACGAGUAGGGCUACACACGUGCUACAAUGGCGUAUACAAAGAGAAGCGACCUCGCGAGAGCAAGCGGAACUCAUAAAGUACGUCGUAGUCCGGAUUGGAGUCUGCAACUCGACUCCAUGAAGUCGGAAUCGCUAGUAAUCGUAGAUCAGAAUGCUACGGUGAAUACGUUCCCGGGCCUUGUACACACCGCCCGUCACACCAUGGGAGUGGGUUGCAAAAGAAGUAGGUAGCUUAACCUUCGGGAGGGCGCUUACCACUUUGUGAUUCAUGACUGGGGUGAAGUCGUAACAAGGUAACCA